Molecule: ribosomal RNA, 253 nt
Filed under: uncultured bacterium
Lineage: Bacteria
Description: partial 16S ribosomal RNA
Rfam family: Bacterial small subunit ribosomal RNA
Source: RNAcentral
UACGGGGGGGGCAAGCGUUGUUCGGAAUUACUGGGCGUAAAGGGUUCGUAGGUGGCCAACUAAGUCAGACGUGAAAUCCCUCAGCUUAACUGGGGAACUGCGUCUGAGACUGGAUGGCUUGAGUGCAGGAGAGGAACGCGGAAUUCCAGGUGUAGCGGUGAAAUGCGUAGAUAUCUGGAGGAAUACCGGUGGCGAAGGCGGCAUCCUGGACCGACAUUGACGCUGAUGAGCGAAAGCCAGGGGAGCAAACGGG